AGCGAACGCUGGCGGCAGGCUUAACACAUGCAAGUCGAGCGGACCUUUCGGGGUCAGCGGCGGACGGGUGAGUAACGCGUGGGAACGUGCCUUCCGGUUCGGAAUAACCCUGGGAAACUAGGGCUAAUACCGGAUACGCCCUUAUGGGGAAAGGUUUACUGCCGGAAGAUCGGCCCGCGUCUGAUUAGCUAGUUGGUGGGGUAACGGCCUACCAAGGCGACGAUCAGUAGCUGGUCUGAGAGGAUGAUCAGCCACACUGGGACUGAGACACGGCCCAGACUCCUACGGGAGGCAGCAGUGGGGAAUAUUGGACAAUGGGCGCAAGCCUGAUCCAGCCAUGCCGCGUGAGUGAUGAAGGCCUUAGGGUUGUAAAGCUCUUUUAUCCGGGACGAUAAUGACGGUACCGGAGGAAUAAGCCCCGGCUAACUUC
Molecule: ribosomal RNA, 430 nt
Filed under: uncultured bacterium
Lineage: Bacteria
Description: partial 16S ribosomal RNA
Rfam family: Bacterial small subunit ribosomal RNA
Source: RNAcentral